RNAcentral lists this ribosomal RNA (764 nucleotides) under uncultured Bacilli bacterium. RNAcentral describes it as "bacterial SSU rRNA". It matches the Rfam family "Bacterial small subunit ribosomal RNA", at positions 28 to 776 of the family's 1533-position model. Lineage: Bacteria; Bacillati; Bacillota; Bacilli. The record is from RNAcentral.
GACGAACGCUGGCGGCGUGCCUAAUACAUGCAAGUAGAACGCUGAAGAGAGGAGCUUGCUCUUCUUGGAUGAGUUGCGAACGGGUGAGUAACGCGUAGGUAACCUGCCUUGUAGCGGGGGAUAACUAUUGGAAACGAUAGCUAAUACCGCAUAACAAUGGAUGACACAUGUCAUUUAUUUGAAAGGGGCAAAUGCUCCACUACAAGAUGGACCUGCGUUGUAUUAGCUAGUAGGUGAGGUAACGGCUCACCUAGGCGACGAUACAUAGCCGACCUGAGAGGGUGAUCGGCCACACUGGGACUGAGACACGGCCCAGACUCCUACGGGAGGCAGCAGUAGGGAAUCUUCGGCAAUGGGGGCAACCCUGACCGAGCAACGCCGCGUGAGUGAAGAAGGUUUUCGGAUCGUAAAGCUCUGUUGUAAGUCAAGAACGAGUGUGAGAGUGGAAAGUUCACACUGUGACGGUAGCUUACCAGAAAGGGACGGCUAACUACGUGCCAGCAGCCGCGGUAAUACGUAGGUCCCGAGCGUUGUCCGGAUUUAUUGGGCGUAAAGCGAGCGCAGGCGGUUUGAUAAGUCUGAAGUUAAAGGCUGUGGCUCAACCAUAGUUCGCUUUGGAAACUGUCAAACUUGAGUGCAGAAGGGGAGAGUGGAAUUCCAUGUGUAGCGGUGAAAUGCGUAGAUAUAUGGAGGGACACCGGUGGCGAAAGCGGCUCUCUGGUCUGUAACUGACGCUGAGGCUCGAAAGCGUGGGAGCGAACAGG